AUACGGAGGGUGCAAGCGUUGUUCGGAAUCAUUGGGCGUAAAGCGCGUGUAGGCGGCUUGGCAAGUCGGGCGUGAAAUCCCGGGGCUCAACCCCGGAACUGCACUCGAAACUGCUUGGCUAGAGUCCCGGAGAGGAAGGCGGAAUUCCCGGUGUAGAGGUGAAAUUCGUAGAUAUCGGGAGGAACACCAGCGGCGAAGGCGGCCUUCUGGACGGUGACUGACGCUGAGACGCGAAAGCGUGGGGAGCAAACAGGAUUAGAUACCCGAGUAGUCC
Molecule: ribosomal RNA, 274 nt
Filed under: uncultured bacterium
Lineage: Bacteria
Description: partial 16S ribosomal RNA
Rfam family: Bacterial small subunit ribosomal RNA
Source: RNAcentral